CGUUGUAGCUCAGUUGGCAGAGCAGCGGCCCAAAGCCGUGUGUCGGGGGUUCGAAUCCCUCCAUCAA
RNAcentral lists this transfer RNA (67 nucleotides) under Cupriavidus campinensis. Its description in RNAcentral is "tRNA-Leu". The stretch from base 4 to 63 matches the Rfam family "tRNA", at positions 6 to 65 of the family's 71-position model. Rfam says of the family: Transfer RNA (tRNA) molecules are approximately 80 nucleotides in length. Their secondary structure includes four short double-helical elements and three loops (D, anti-codon, and T loops). Further hydrogen bonds mediate the characteristic L-shaped molecular structure. tRNAs have two regions of fundamental functional importance: the anti-codon, which is responsible for specific mRNA codon recognition, and the 3' end, to which the tRNAs corresponding amino acid is attached (by aminoacyl-tRNA synthetases). tRNAs cope with the degeneracy of the genetic code in two manners: having more than one tRNA (with a specific anti-codon) for a particular amino acid; and 'wobble' base-pairing, i.e. permitting non-standard base-pairing at the 3rd anti-codon position. The record is from RNAcentral. Lineage: Bacteria; Pseudomonadati; Pseudomonadota; Betaproteobacteria; Burkholderiales; Burkholderiaceae.